GACGAACGCUGGCGGCGUGCUUAACACAUGCAAGUCGAACGAUGAACCCGGAGCUUGCUCCGGUGGAUUAGUGGCGAACGGGUGAGUAACACGUGAGUAACCUGCCCUUGACUCUGGGAUAACUGCGGGAAACUGUAGCUAAUACCGGAUACGACCCUCGGCGGCAUCGCCAGGGGGUGGAAAGAAUUUCGGUCAAGGAUGGACUCGCGGCCUAUCAGCUAGUUGGUGAGGUAACGGCUCACCAAGGCGACGACGGGUAGCCGGCCUGAGAGGGUGAACGGCCACACUGGGACUGAGACACGGCCCAGACUCCUACGGGAGGCAGCAGUGGGGAAUAUAGCGCAAUGGACGAAAGUCUGACGCAGCGACGCCUCGUGAGGGAUGACGGCCUUCGGGUUGUAAACCUCUUUUAGUAGGGAAGAAGCGAAAGUGACGGUACCUGCAGAAAAAGCACCGGCUAACUACGUGCCAGCCGCCGCGGUAA
RNAcentral lists this ribosomal RNA (484 nucleotides) under uncultured bacterium. RNAcentral's name for it is "partial 16S ribosomal RNA". It matches the Rfam family "Bacterial small subunit ribosomal RNA", at positions 28 to 523 of the family's 1533-position model. The record is from RNAcentral.